UCAUUUGGGAAGUCAAAUUUCAACUGGGAAUAAGCUGUUGAAUUUAGAGGAGAAACUCUCUGGAAGACCAUGGAUGGCCACCAGAUACUGUCUGCAGGAAAACAAGGAAUCAGUAUGGCAGACCAGCUCGCAAUGAAAGCAGAGAGGCAGCUGGGAUGCGGACACUCACCGUCGGACCAGCGUUCUCUCGCAGGAUCUGAGCCCGACGACCGCUGGGUGCCUGGAGCCAGCCUGGGCAGGUCACUCCAUCCUCCUUGGUCUCGUCUGCAGCUGCCUGAGGAGAAGAUAAUACCUGCCCCACAGAGUUGUGUUGAGGGCAAAAACGCGUCACUGUGCAUUGUGUGUUCCAGGGACCCAGCACACAGCAAGGGUGGCGCAAGCGUGAUGAGCUACAGGCACUGGCCCCGCCUUCACGGGUCCCCUUUCCCUCUGAAUUCCGUGCUCUACCCACAAUGAACACCCUCCAGAAUCCAUAACAUGCCGUGUUUUCUUUCACUUCAGUGCUGUCCACGUGCAACUUCCUCCUACGAGGAUCAGCUUAAAGCCCUCAGACCAGCAGCCAGCUCGUGCUAACUACCAUCCCAGUGUUGGAAAUUAGGACUCUGCCUGGAAUGUUCUUUCCCAUCUCUCCUCUGUACCCCUCACCCCCACCCCUUGGCUAAUUCCCAAUCAUCUUUCCAGUCUCAGUUCAAAUAUUUCCUUCCAAGCUUACCCUCUCCCUGCAAAUGUAGUUCAGGUGUCUUUCCAGUCAAGGACACUGCUGGUUCCUGAGGGGCCUUCUGUCGCUUACAAAAAUGCUCUCCUACCCCAAGGCAGCAGUGUCUGGAGAGGGGAAUGGACUGGAUUUUGGCCUCUACUCACGCCUUUAGCCAACAGCCAGUGAACAGCACCCCAACCCCCACCAACAAAACCACACACAGCUGCCCAACUGCUCGUGAGCACCCACAGCGUUUAUCAGCCCCCGGUGCAAUCAGCCCUUGUCUGUGUCCCUCCAGAAGGAGGACUCCGCCAGGCCAUGGCUACAGCUUCUCCAAAUGGAGUCUCCGAUACCUAACACACUACUCUGCACUUCAGAGCUGCUCAGUAAAUCUUUGUUAAGUGAAUGAAUGAAUGGACCAUGGAGGAUGGACAUGGCCUUGUAUUCUUCCCCUGUGCUUAUUCUCGUCUUCCAGGGCCCCGGUGUAAACACCAAGCCCUCAACAACACAUGCUGACUUGUCACCCAUGCAUUUGUGGGGUUUGUUCUGAGUACGAGAAACGGGGAGGGAAGCUUCCAGAUCCUUUGCUCACACAGUGGAGUUCAGGCUCCAGCAGGAACAAGCACUCUGCUUUAAGGGCCCUCCGUCCAGGUGGCUUAUGGACCUCUGCAACCGCCACCCUAUUAAGCAGCAGGGAGCUGCCGAGGGCACAGCUCAGUCUGCCCAGGAGUGAAGAGAAUGUGUUACCUAAGAUUUCCCUGAAGGGUUCAGAGAGUGCCGGUUAAGGGUGCUGUCCGGCCACUGUCGCCCCGAACCAGAUGACAGUAAUCCCAAGCCACCUGCCAGGUGAGCAGGCAGGGGACACACGCACACACGUGCGUGCACGCACACACCAUUCAGUCCCAGAAGUCAGUGAGGCCCCACAUUUAGUAAGCUGCUGAUAGUUGCAUCUUCUUGAAAAGGACACAGUAAGGCAAUAAGACAAGGUAACCUGGGCAGUUAAGGGGCUGGUUUCAACGUGUCACUACGGGGGCAGGGAGGGGAGCAAGUGUGCGAGAAGCCGCACAGCCUGGCAUUGGGAGCAGAACCAUGUACACCCCGGGAAGCCUGGUCCAAGCCCUGGUUUCAUGUUAGACACAAGCCGCCUUCCCUCUUCAUCUGGGUCCCAAGAGUCGGGGAGCAGUCAAGGGGGGCCUUCUGCUCCCUGCAACUAUGCUGAGAAUAACAUCAGAGAAACAUAAAAGCUCUCUGAAAGCGGAUGAUUCCCUAAGUUAUUGUCAUUGGGUUGUCUCAUUCCUCUGUGUGGUCACCACGCUGCUCCGCGGCUCUCCCUCCAGGAGCCCCUCCUGUGGUCUUCGUCCUUCCAACGGCUCCUGACACCCCUUCUCGCUCAGCCAGUCGUGGGGGCUCCUCUAGACACAUACCCCAGCUUGAGGGCAGUGGUCACAUCAGGUAUUUUCUUGUGUCCUUAAAGCUCAGAGCCCAGCCCCUGGCCCGUAGGCUCGCGGACCCCAAGCCGGGGUGUACACACAUGCGGGUGCGCAAGUGCUUGCCCUUCUCAUCCGCCAAGGAGCUGACCACGGGGACAGCAAGUCGACCCCUUCCGGGACAGGCACCAAAGGGCAGUCGGUGUUUUCUUAUGCCAAACUGCAUUGCCCUUGAAACAGAGCUUCAAAACCUCUGCUGACGCAGUCCACCAAGUUGUGGAUACAGUUGACAGGUUAAAAUCCGAUCUGACCCACUUUAACUGACGGCGGGGAAAGGGACUUGUAGUACGAGAACACGAUCCGUGGGCCACAACGGUUACUUCAGAGACUCGUUCCAAAGAGGAGCCUGAGCAACCCCCUGUGGGCACCUGUGUACGGACCGGAGCCAUCUGGGGCUCGUAUCUGUUUUGGCUUCGGUGACUUUUAUAGAAAAAGACUUCUUAUCAAGACUAUUAUGGUCCAUUAGUUAAACCAGAUGUUAAAGCCAUGAAUCACUAAAACAAAAAAAAAAAUGGACAUACCUUGAGCAUUUUAAAAUAAGUAUAUAAACAGGUUUACUAAUAUUUUUGAGCCUACUGGUGAUCUGUCCUUUAGGUACGGGUCCAUAGAUUAAUUGCCCAAAGUCUUCUUGCAUAAAUAACAGAUUUCUAGUUUGCUUUCUUCCAAGUGGAUGAAGACCUUGAAGACAUCACACAGUAAGACACAAAGACGGCUGCAGGCAGACCCCUUCCACAGCUGCUUCUCUCCUUUCAACUUUUUAACUCUUGCCAUUGUCUUUGCACCUAGUUCACCAGCAAUUUCUUUUGUAGCAACUCACUUUUACCAAUUUUGUUGGAAACCCUCAACUUAGUUUCAUUCACACAGCAAUUAGAGGCAAUUAGGUGUUAAGCACUUGGAAGAGUGCCUGGCACCCAGGGGUGCUCAAUGCACGUUAGCUAUCUAUCCCACUCAUUCCAUUUAUGUCAUGAUCAAGUUACUCAAGUUACAACAGCAAAUUUACUGUUGCAAACAGGUAACAGCAACUUGCACAAUGGACUCCUGCUACGCACUCAGCCUUAAUGGAGGGGAAUUACUGUGCACACAAAAGUAACAUGGGCAUAGAGCAUACAGUAGCCAUUAAUGCAUUUUGCAAAAGGGAUGGAGACUAGCAAGUAAGUUAAAUGGAGAUCACGGAAGAGAGCGGCUGCUCUGAUGAAGUCCUUCCAAUCCCUUACGUUCUUCCCAACGUAGACGCCAUCGCCAACCACAGCCAAUGUGUAAAGCCACACCUGGCUUCUUGGGGAGAGCUCCAGGAACAGCAACAGUAUCGGUUUUUAUUUGUAGUGUCUGCUUCCACUUUGCAAGAUACAAAGCUAAACCUUUCUCUGCCAAGUCUCCCUAAAUUUAAGCGGGCUGGCCAAUGGCAUGUUAGAAUGGGUGGUCUGUGUUCACUUGAGUUGAGCAUUCUUUUAAUAAAGGACUUAGUUAUAAUGCUUUAGUUCUUUAGGUCUCGUUUUCAUUCUUGUAGGCCAACUGACAAUUGCCGUGGAAUUUCAGACAGAGCUAAUCCACAAUCCUGUGUACUUAAAAAUCAAAACUGACCAGCAUCCUCACCAAACCAGGCACCACACUGAAAAAGGGAUUGGUCCCCAGUGGGCCUUAAUGCUCAUGUGAAUCUCAGUGCAAAAUAGGGGAACAGGGACAGAAAGGGGCUGGCCUAAGGCCUUGGGUGAGGGCAGGAUUAGCAGGACGUGAGACCAAAUCCCGCCCUCCUGACCUCUCUCCUGUCCCAGCAGCUGCACUGCCUUCCCAUGGCCCAUGUUAGAGGUAAGUGGGGCUUAAAGAGGGCUUUACUAGGUUGAAGUCAACAUUAGAAAACGGAAUCCACCAACACGAUCCAUGGCCCUCUGCCUUGAAUAAGAAUUUACCCGAAGAAGAACAGAGGUCUUAC
This 4114-nucleotide long non-coding RNA is filed under the name Mustela putorius furo (domestic ferret). Its description in RNAcentral is "lncRNA (ENSMPUG00000030562.1)". Lineage: Eukaryota; Metazoa; Chordata; Mammalia; Carnivora; Mustelidae. The record is from RNAcentral.